Mustela erminea (ermine) is the source of this 81-nucleotide long non-coding RNA. RefSeq lists it as uncharacterized. The record is from RefSeq and is a predicted model, not a curated record. The transcript is spliced from 3 exons. NCBI's taxonomy places the organism in Eukaryota, Metazoa, Chordata, Mammalia, Carnivora, Mustelidae.
GUUUUGGUUUGGUGGGGGUGUUUUGAUAACUGACUCAAUUUCACUGCUAGGAAUUGGUCCGAUAAAAUUUUCUAUUUCUUC